Limulus polyphemus (Atlantic horseshoe crab) is the source of this 354-nucleotide long non-coding RNA. RefSeq lists it as uncharacterized. Lineage: Eukaryota; Metazoa; Arthropoda; Merostomata; Xiphosura; Limulidae. The transcript has 3 exons. The record is from RefSeq and is a predicted model, not a curated record.
ACGAGGCCAUUGUACAGUGUGAAGACAGCCCCACCACAGAUCAAAGAGAUGAAUUACUCAAUACAUUACACCGACUUGAAGAUGCAACAACGAUUCUCCGACGACAACUACGUUCUGUUAAAAGGACAUUAACUCGAAAGGAUCGAGUGAAUCCUGGAUUAUCUUACCGUUUUCUUCCUUGGUACUUUAAGUAUAUUCUACCUCUCGUCUUGUUAUGGCAGUUUUCUUCAGUAACACCUCCUUUUCUUUACGACCAACUUUCGGAAAGAAAACAUCUCGGAUAUAUGACGUUUUGUCAUAUCGUGAUGUCAGUCUUUCAAGUUGUUAGCUUCGCCCACGUUGUAUGGGGAACAG